UAGUUGAAUGAUUGCAAAUGCCUUGAGGA
RNAcentral lists this non-coding RNA (29 nucleotides) under Rattus norvegicus (Norway rat). The record is from RNAcentral. Lineage: Eukaryota; Metazoa; Chordata; Mammalia; Rodentia; Muridae.